CCUUUGACGUUAGCGGCGGACGGGUGAGUAACACGUGGGUAACCUACCUAUAAGACUGGGAUAACUUCGGGAAACCGGAGCUAAUACCGGAUAAUAUUUCGAACCGCAUGGUUCGAUAGUGAAAGAUGGUUUUGCUAUCACUUAUAGAUGGACCCGCGCCGUAUUAGCUAGUUGGUAAGGUAACGGCUUACCAAGGCGACGAUACGUAGCCGACCUGAGAGGGUGAUCGGCCACACUGGAACUGAGACACGGUCCAGACUCCUACGGGAGGCAGCAGUAGGGAAUCUUCCGCAAUGGGCGAAAGCCUGACGGAGCAACGCCGCGUGAGUGAUGAAGGUCUUCGGAUCGUAAAACUCUGUUAUUAGGGAAGAACAUACGUGUAAGUAACUAUGCACGUCUUGACGGUACCUAAUCAGAAAGCCACGGCUAACUACGUGCCAGCAGCCGCGGUAAUACGUAGGUGGCAAGCGUUAUCCGGAAUUAUUGGGCGUAAAGCGCGCGUAGGCGGUUUUUUAAGUCUGAUGUGAAAGCCCACGGCUCAACCGUGGAGGGUCAUUGGAAACUGGAAAACUUGAGUGCAGAAGAGGAAAGUGGAAUUCCAUGUGUAGCGGUGAAAUGCGCAGAGAUAUGGAGGAACAC
This 639-nucleotide ribosomal RNA is filed under the name Staphylococcus sp. S02. Its description in RNAcentral is "bacterial SSU rRNA". It matches the Rfam family "Bacterial small subunit ribosomal RNA", at positions 83 to 709 of the family's 1533-position model. Lineage: Bacteria; Bacillati; Bacillota; Bacilli; Caryophanales; Staphylococcaceae. The record is from RNAcentral.